UGAUGAAUAAAACCAAAUCACCAUCUUUCGUCUGA
RNAcentral lists this small nucleolar RNA (35 nucleotides) under Notechis scutatus (mainland tiger snake). Lineage: Eukaryota; Metazoa; Chordata; Lepidosauria; Squamata; Elapidae. The record is from RNAcentral.